Molecule: ribosomal RNA, 533 nt
Filed under: Limosilactobacillus fermentum
Lineage: Bacteria; Bacillati; Bacillota; Bacilli; Lactobacillales; Lactobacillaceae
Description: bacterial SSU rRNA
Rfam family: Bacterial small subunit ribosomal RNA
Source: RNAcentral
AUGAACGCCGGCGGUGUGCCUAAUACAUGCAAGUCGAACGCGUUGGCCCAAUUGAUUGAUGGUGCUUGCACCUGAUUGAUUUUGGUCGCCAACGAGUGGCGGACGGGUGAGUAACACGUAGGUAACCUGCCCAGAAGCGGGGGACAACAUUUGGAAACAGAUGCUAAUACCGCAUAACAACGUUGUUCGCAUGAACAACGCUUAAAAGAUGGCUUCUCGCUAUCACUUCUGGAUGGACCUGCGGUGCAUUAGCUUGUUGGUGGGGUAACGGCCUACCAAGGCGAUGAUGCAUAGCCGAGUUGAGAGACUGAUCGGCCACAAUGGGACUGAGACACGGCCCAUACUCCUACGGGAGGCAGCAGUAGGGAAUCUUCCACAAUGGGCGCAAGCCUGAUGGAGCAACACCGCGUGAGUGAAGAAGGGUUUCGGCUCGUAAAGCUCUGUUGUUAAAGAAGAACACGUAUGAGAGUAACUGUUCAUACGUUGACGGUAUUUAACCAGAAAGUCACGGCUAACUACGUGCCAGCAGCCGC